CGGCUGGACGAUGCAGAAUGAAGAAGACGAGUUUGAUCCUGAAUCACCUUGGUGGAUGGGUGAUGUAUGGAAAUGUCAAACUUUAAAGGAGAAGCCAACUAUAUAGCUCAUUCUCUAUGAUUUAACGGUGUGAAAAUAACGGGAAAAAGUCCGUUUUUCAUCUCGUUGAGACGUUUUCGUUUUAUAGAAAUUUUUUUAUGUAGAUAUUUCAGUUUCUUUUCGUUAAUUCUAACGAAAGUUGAUAAAAGUGAAUAAAAUUACCUAUUUUUCAUUUGAUAUACGCCAAAACUUUAAAGUGAAUUGUUUCAAAACAGUUGUAAUGCGAGAACUACAAUGAGCUGUGAAGCUUUUCGAAAAAUCCUGGUGAUUAAGAAUGAUGAGAACUACUCACUGCAUGUGAAAUAUCAAGCUAUUUCACAAUAAUUUAUAACGACAAGGUCCAGGGAAGCUAUAGUAGCACGGCCAAGACAAGUACGACAGCUUCUUCAAACUGUCGCUGUAACUGCGUUUUAUAAAAUAGUUCAGCAAUGAAGUACAAAGAUACACGAAUGGAAGUUAAAAGUAUGUACAUAUACCUCUUAAGGGCAGAUCAUGGAAGUUUUUUUUUGUCAGAUAUGCAACAGCAAUAUUUUCGACCAAAUUAUAGGUUAGGUUGAACAUAUUUACAUAAAGUCUUCUGACAAAAAUACUGGCUUCCACUUUUUGGUGAGUGGGUUUUGUUCUAGCAGGCUCUCUGAGAAGAUGAUUUAUUUCGAAACGACAGUUACUAUCGGAACUUCCCCGAGUAUAUACUAUUUUUGCAAGAACGUACCUAUAAACUUUCCACUAGUUCGUGGUAUCAGCGUGGCGCUGUAGUCUAUCUCGCUCCCAGUCUAUAUACCUAAUGUAUGGGACAGCCCGCCUACCGGUGUCAAUCUGUCCACUUAGCGAUCACAGUUUCCCAAAAGUCUCGUGAGAGUUUGAAGCGGUGUUCUUAUAGCUCCUCCUUCAGCUUCUCCGCUCUUUGUUCGACACUCGCUCUCAAACGUGCCGGAUUGGACCUCGUGUCAGGCUCGUGUGUCCGCCAAAAUGGCCAAGGGAAAUUCUUUGGAGAAUCAAGGGACCUGGUAUUUAACUGUUUUUACGGAAAGGGACGCAAGUAACGAAGAGAAAGAAUCAGUAGAGGCCAUCCCCGACUUCUGGAUACUUGAUGACAAGAAACAUGCUGUAUGGCCGCCAUUUAAAAACGAACGAAAAAUAAUAAAAGCCAUCGCAUCCAGCAAAACUCCUGACGAGUUGGCUUCUUUAUGAAGUGAAACAAAUUUAUUUAGAUGUUGCAUGUACUUCAUACGAAGAAGCUGCCAAAAAAGCGGAAUUAGCAGAGGACACAUCAGUUUUUAAUGAUGAAGAUCAGAAACUACAGAACCCCAACAAUCGCAAAUUCUAUAAAAGAAAGAAAGGUUCUAGCUCUGAUGAAGAUGAGGAAGAACAGCGAAUACGUAAUAAGAAGUUCAACAUAGGAGAAAACUCUAUUCCAACGUCCCCAACCUCACAGAAAGGCGAUAUUUACAAUCUACCAGCACAAAUCU
RNAcentral lists this long non-coding RNA (1568 nucleotides) under Nasonia vitripennis (jewel wasp). RNAcentral describes it as "uncharacterized LOC116417840, transcript variant X2". Lineage: Eukaryota; Metazoa; Arthropoda; Insecta; Hymenoptera; Pteromalidae. The record is from RNAcentral.